GAUGAACGCUGGCGGCGUGCCUAAUACAUGCAAGUCGAGCGAACGGACGAGAAGCUUGCUUUUCUGAUGUUAGCGGCGGACGGGUGAGUAACACGUGGAUAACCUACCUAUAAGACUGGGAUAACUUCGGGAAACCGGAGCUAAUACCGGAUAAUAUUUUGAACCGCAUGGUUCAAAAGUGAAAGACGGUCUUGCUGUCACUUAUAGAUGGAUCCGCGCUUCAUUAGCUAGUUGGUAAGGUAACGGCUUACCAAGGCAACGAUGCAUAGCCGACCUGGGAGGGUGGUCGGCCACACUGGAACUGAGACCCGGUCCCGACUCCUACGGGAGGCAGCAGUAGGGAAUCUUCCGCAAUGGGCGAAAGCCUGACGGAGCAACGCCGCGUGAGUGAUGAAGGUCUUCGGAUCGUAAAACUCUGUUAUUAGGGAAGAACAUAUGUGUAAGUAACUGUGCACAUCUUGACGGUACCUAAUCAGAAAGCCACGGCUAACUACGUG
This 497-nucleotide ribosomal RNA is filed under the name uncultured bacterium. RNAcentral's name for it is "partial 16S ribosomal RNA". It matches the Rfam family "Bacterial small subunit ribosomal RNA", at positions 28 to 507 of the family's 1533-position model. The record is from RNAcentral.